This 266-nucleotide ribosomal RNA is filed under the name uncultured bacterium. RNAcentral's name for it is "partial 16S ribosomal RNA". It matches the Rfam family "Bacterial small subunit ribosomal RNA", at positions 793 to 1055 of the family's 1533-position model. The record is from RNAcentral.
GUCCACGCCGUAAACUAUGAGAACUAGAUUUGGGGGAGUUUGACCCCUUCCGAAUCGAAGCGAACGCAUUAAGUUCUCCGCCUGGGAAGUACGGUCGCAAGACUAAAACUCAAAGGAAUUGACGGGGGCCCGCACAAGCGGUGGAUUAUGUGGUUUAAUUCGAAGCAACGCGAAGAACCUUACCUAGGUUUUAAAUCCUGAGAAUCCUCCGGAAAUGGAGGAGUGCCCUUCGGGGAAUUCAGUGACAGGUGCUGCAUGGCUGUCGU